UAUGGAAAAACUUGUCACUUGCCUGUGGAAGUAGAGUUUAAGGCUCAUUGGGCACUCAAAAAAUGGAACAUGGAUCUCCACCUCGCUAGCGAGAAUCGUCUGAUGCAACUAUCUGAGCUAGAAGAAUGGAGAGAGAAAGCCUACCACAAUUCAAGGAUCUAUAAAGAGAGAACAAAACGAUAGCAUGAUAAGAGAAUCAAGCACAAGGAGUUUAAGCCUGGAGAUAAGGUUCUACUAUUCAAUUCAAGAGUUAAGCUCUUUGGGCAUGGUAAGCUACGAAGUAAGUGGGAUGGACCAUACAAGGUUAUUGACACUUCAACUCAUGGAGCCAUUACCAUCCAAGAUGACAUAGGUAACACUUUUAAGGUAAAUGGUCAACGCUUGAAAAUCUAUCUUGAGCCUCAAAACAACCGGGUAGAGGAACUUGAUGUGACUGAGUUCAUAGAAUUCUCAUAUUAAGCUCUCAUAAGCUCUAGACAAUUACCUAACCCUUAACAUGCUCCACAAGUUUUGUUGUCUAUUUGGGUUGUGCAGGAUUUUAAGGCUUAAGAAGACUAAGAUAGAACAUGCAGGCCAUAAGAGUGAACGACUAUGUCAACAUCCAGCUUGGGGGAGUCAUCCCCACGUGUAUCAUGAUAAGUAUUACUUUUCUUUCUUGGUUUUAUUUACUAGUAUUCGGAAAUAAAAAAAAAUGUGUGACCAUGAAGCCAAACAAAGUUUUUCUUUUGAGUAAUAUACCAUGGUUUUGUGUAAUCCUAAGUUUUAAAUAAAAUAAAAAGAAAGUUUGGUUCAAGUCUAGGUAAUUGACAAACAUGAUAUGAGAAGGUCUGAGCUACUAUUUAACUUGUUCCAAGUUUUGCUAGAGUUCUGGAGAUUUUAUCUUUUGAAAAUCUAAAAAUUCAUAAACAAAAAUAUGAGAUCAUAAUACCUUGAGUCUUAUAAGAUAAAAAUAUUAAAACAGUGGGUACUUUCUUUGUUCAAGCCAUUGUUAAUUCUUGUAGUUUUGGUUGAGAGAAUUAUCAUGCUCCCAAGAUCAAGAUCUUUUUGUUUUAAAAAUAUAAAAGAUUCACUCUUCCGAAGUAUUAUUGCGUUAGAGGCAUGGGACUAUGCAAAAUUUUGAUUCGAAAAAAAAGUGAGACGAGAGGUAAAAAUGGACAAGUGUCCGAAGUAGAAUUAGGGGUACAAAGAUACCCACCUGAGUGGAAAAAAUGAACAUGUGUCCGACAGUAGAAUUAGGGGUACUUGCUGCCCACUUGAAAAAAAAAGAAGAGACUGAAAAAAAAAGAAAAAAAUGAUAGCCCAUUGUCCCUCUAAUAAGCAAUAUGCCAGUAAGAGAUGACAAACUUUUCAAAAAGGUCAAAGGUCUUGAUCUAGGAGUAUGACAUUCCUCUCCCUUGCUCCGAGCAUUGACAUAGCAAAAUGCAAAGUAAGUAUGCUAAAACUUUUAAAGCUCUACUUAUAUAUCUUUCGAGAAGAAGGCAAAUACCUCAGUUUUAUUUUGCAGACUCAUAAAAAAAAUCCAGAACAAAGGUAAGACAGAAGAACUUGAGACAUAGUGCUUGACUUGAUCGUUCUGUUUUACAAUCACUUAAGACCUUAGUGAUAAAUUAAAAACCCUGUAGUAAGAGGCAUAAAAGUAACCCCUGUUUUCUUGUUUAUUUUAGCUUUGCUCAGGGACGAGCAAAGGUUAAGCUUGGGGGAGCUUGUUGACGGUCCUUAAUGCUCACAUUUAACCAUCAACUAAUCAUGGAAAAGGAUCCAAAUGCAACCAACACCUAGACUUAGGGUUUUAUCUGACAGAAUUCCACGAGUUUUGGUGUUUGUCUAUUUCUGCAGGGGGUUAUCAGGAAAUAUGGAGGAAAGGCUCACACGUCGGGAUUACAUAGAGAUAUUAACGUGCCGCACAAUUUUCUACCACCUAGAAGACUCCAGAAGCCACGGGAACGAACGGGAAGGCGAUCGGGCUCGGAGGCAGGGCGCCCGCCCUACUCUCCUGGGCACCCGCCCUGCUACAGUGCCCAAUUAGGGUCAACUUCGCGGAUCGUGCUCCACCGACUCUAAGGAUCGAGGGAAAUCACACGAUUAAGGUCGGUUUGAUCGGAUGGUGGAGAAUAACGUGGAAAUUCCUUGGGAGCUACUCUUCCUAGAUUUCUUGGGGGCUACUCUUCCUAGAUUUCUUGGGGGCUACUCUUCCUGGACUAUAUAAGCAGACCCCCACCAGCCCCUGGAGGCAUACCUCUUCUACAGAAUCAAAGUUAGGGUUUCAAUUCUUCAUCCAAGUAGAGAGGAUCCCUCUAGUUCUUCUAGUUCUACCUCUAGUUCAUCUAGAUCCAGUUCUAGUUCAUCUAGUUCUAGUUCUAGUUCCUCUAGUUCUAGUUCUAGUUAGUUCUAGUUGUAAUCUAGAAAAUAGGGAGAGAGAAGACGAGAGCGGAGGAGGAGGAGCUGGAUCUGUCGGAUCUUCCUCAACAUUGUACUUUUGCAGCAACUGGUUCGUUCUUCAUCGUUCUCCAGGUUAUUCAAUUCAUAAUCCUGAGUUCUUUAAUUACUUUUAUUUACAUUUAAGUUAUUUAUUGGAUUCCCGCUUGCAUCAAGUGCUCUAAUCUUUGCAACAUUAGAGUAGUAAUUAAUAGAUUAGACGUGGUGUUUAGUCUUGCAAUUACAUGGAAUUGCACCCAAUCCUGCGGAUUGUUGUGGUAGCCUUAGGGUAGUGACAGCCCUAACGGUCGACGUAUUCCACCUCGUUCGGAUUGGUGUUUGUAGGACCGUAGUCAGACCUUCCUAGCCCCCUUCUUAUCUCUUUCUGUGGUUAGUGUUCUGAUGUCCCGAUAUAGAUAAUCUUGAAGUAAUUCUUGAUUCUUAGAUCAACUAGAGAACUCUCAGGAAACUUUCUCUCUUCCCACCAAAAAUAAUCAUAUAGUUAUCCUUGGGCGAUCUUGGAUCUUAAUUAGUACACUCACGUUCCCUGUGGAAAAUCGAUACUCUGGUAUACUCCCGGGUGAAAGCUACAUCGGUAUCCUUGCGCUUGCGGAUUUUUCUGUUUGCGUUUAAAAUACCCAACAAGCUUUUUGGCGCCGUUGCCGGGGAACGAUAGCUGUGCUAGUUUCGAACCAAGUCUUUCGUGUAUCCUUUUUCCUUUCCUUUUUACCACACUCACCUUACCAUUUUCACCACACCACAUGGAUUUCACUCCUAUUUAUAAAUUCUUUGCUCCAAAGGGCGACUUAUUAGAGCCACCACCAUCAUCACAUCCAAUUCUUACAGAUGGCUACGACCUCGGCCCUGAUCUAAUAGCCAUGAUUCAGGAGCAAUCCUUCUCUGGGCAAGUAGAUGAAGAUCCAUACACCCACCUUAGAGAAUUCGAGCAGUUGUGCUCUUGCCGAUCUAUUUCCGGCAUGACACAAGAAACCCUUAAAUGGAAAUUAUUUCCGUUCUCCCUUUUGGGAAGAGUAAAAAAAUGGUAUGCUCAUUCUGUAGGAGGCGUUAAUGGAAGUUGGGAUGAACUUCGAGACAACUUUUGUCUCGCUUUCUUCCCACUUUUUCGAAUUGCUGACCUUAGAAUUGAAAUUCUUACAUUCAAACAAAUAGAGAAGGAAACUUUAGGAGCAGCAUGGGCUAGGAUCACAAGCCUCACCAAUUCUGGUCCACACCUUUCCCUGCCUGACCAUGUACUGUACUACCACUUUUAUCGUGGUCUAAAUAAGGAAGCUGCUCUUCACCUCGACAUUGCUUCAGGAGGCUCAUUCACACACAAACUCACAGAUGAGGGGAGAGCUAUCCUAGAGAGAAUCCUUGAAAAUACCCCUUACACAGACAUUUAUGAUGAGUUUCCUGAAGUCGAGCCUGAUCCUAAACCAAAAGAUGAGGAACUUGCAACCGAGUUAGAAAUUCCACCUGACCCAUCUAGUAAUUUGGUUGUAGAGAAACCUCCUGAUAAAGGAAUGCAAAACCAACUAAGGGAUGAUGAACCACCACCUUUAGAGCAUCCCUUUGAAUUCGAGGAAGAUCUUUUUGAAGAUUAUGGAAACACCUCGAAUUUUCCUAUCCAAACACAACCCCUAGCAAGGACCACUCAAUCUGUUCUAAGAGUAGAAUCUGUUGACAUAGAACACAUCAAAAGUCUGUCGGCUAUUCUGAGUUAUGAAUGGCUAACAGAAGCAGAGCUGUCUCCUGAGGUAGCUCGAAUCAUCACUCCUUCAACCAUUCUUCUGUGCCAAAUUAGAAGGUCCCCUAGGAAGGUCCACUACAAUCCAUAUGUUGGGAUAAAUGUUAUUUCCAAGGAGUUAGCUGACACUCUUUAUCCCAACGAGUCCAUAACCCCAUCUCAAAAAGUUUUACAAAGUCCAUCUAGAUUAAUUCUAGAAAGCCAUGGGGUAUUAAGGGCAGUUCCUGUUAGAAUCAAGGACUCUGGAAUAUGUCUAGAUUUUCACAUUUUUGACAUACCGGAGAUUCCUCUCUUGAUUGGCAGACCAAUCAUGAAACUUCUACAAGAACAACUACAACGAGGUCAUUUAGACUUCAAAGUUGGGAAUUCCACUAUUGUUGUUCCUCUAGCUAGAUCAAUUAACACGAUAGUGGAACCCAAACUUGACCCAGAUCCUAUUGAGGAGAUCUUAAUGGUGACUCAAGAGGAGAUGACCCAACCAUUCUUUAAUCAUGAACACUUUGUUCAAGAAGAAGAAGAGUUGGUAGAACCCGUUGAGCUAGAUAAAAAUGAACAACCUUCACCUCCUUCGAUAGAGUUAAAACCUCUUCCUUCUGGCCUUAGAUAUGUCUUUUUGCACAACAACCCAAAAACUCCAGUAAUUAUCAGUGACAAGAUUUCCGAUUAUGAAACACAACAACUUGUCACUGUUCUUGAAAGGCAUAGAUCAGCAUUUGGCUACUCUCUCGAAGAUCUCACGGGCAUUAGUCCCAUUCUCUGUACUCAUCGUAUCCCUAUUGAUCCCAAUUCUACACCUUCAAGGGAACCACAACGGAGACUUAACAGUGCUAUGCGAGAGGUUGUUAAGAAAGAGGUCCUCAAACUCUAUCGUGCUGGGAUUAUUUAUCCUGUGCCACAUAGUGAGUGGGUUAGCCCUGUCCAAGUAGUGCCAAAGCAAGGAGGAAUGACGGUUGUUAGGAAUGAGAAAAAUGAACUCAUCCCUCAACGAAUUGUCACUGGGUGGCGUAUGUGUAUUGACUAUCGAAAACUCAAUAAGGCUACAAAGAAAGAUCACUUUCCGUUACACUUCAUUGAUGAAAUGUUAGAACGGCUUGCAAACCACUCUUUCUUUUGUUUCCUUGAUGGUUAUUCUGGAUAUCACCAAAUCCCAAUCCACCCAGAUGACCAAGAAAAGACUACCUUUACAUGCCCGUAUGGAACUUAUGCAUACCGACGAAUGUCGUUCGGAUUGUGCAAUGCUCCACCUUCUUUCCAACGGUGCAUGAUGUCUAUUUUCUCGGACAUGAUUGAGAAGAUCAUGGAGGUUUUCAUGGAUGAUUUUACCGUCUAUGGCAAAACCUUCGAUCAUUGUUUGGAGAAUUUAGAUAGAGUCUUGCAGCGAUGUGAAGAAAAACACUUAAUCCUGAACUGGGAGAAAUGCCAUUUUAUGGUUCAGGAAGGAAUAGUGCUAGGACAUAAAGUGUCCGAACGUGGUAUAGAGGUGGACAAAGCAAAGAUUGAAGUUAUUGAAAAACUUCCACCUCUCACGAAUGUGAAAGGAAUCCGUAGCUUUAUGGGACAUGCAGGGUUCUAUAGACGCUUUAUCAAGAAUUUCUCUCAAAUUGCUAGACCCCUAACUAAUCUCCUAGCUAAGGACGCACCUUUCAUCUUUAAUGAUGAGUGUCAUGAAUCUUUUCAAACUCUUAAGAAAGCACUCAUCUCAGCCCCAAUUAUCCAACCACCUAAUUGGAAUCUUCCUUUUGAGAUCAUGUGUGAUGCUAGCGAUUUUGCGGUUGGUGCCGUUUUAGGACAAACCAAGGAUAGAAAGCAUUAUGCUAUAUCCUACGCUAGCAAAACCUUGUCUGGACCACAGCUCAAUUACACUACAACUGAAAAAGAGCUUUUGGCUGUUGUCUUUGCUAUAGACAAGUUUAGAUCUUACUUAGUGGGGGCAAAGAUAAUCAUCUAUUCAGACCAUGCUGCUCCCAAGUACCUCCUCACUAAGAAAGAUGCUAAGCCUCGUCUAAUUCGAUGGAUUCUUCUACUCCAAGACUUUGACAUAGAAAUCCGAGAUAGGAAGGGAGUUGAGAAUUCCGUAGCCGACCACUUAUCUAGGAUUCAAUAUAAGGAAACACAUGAUGAGCUUCCCAUAAAUGACUACCUAAGGGAUGACACCCUACUUAAGAUAACACAUGCAGAUCCAUGGUACGCAGACAUCGUAAACUUUAUAGUAAAAGGCUAUGUCCCACCUGGUGCAAACAAAAGUUGCUUCACGAUAGUCGUUUCCACCUUUGGGAUGAGCCAUAUCUUUUCCGAGUCUGCGCUGAUCGACUCUUGAGAAGGUGUGUUCCUAUGGCUGAGGCUACUCAAAUUAUGGAAAGAUGCCAUGCCUCGCCAUAUGGAGGACACUACGGAGCAUUUCGAACACAUGCUAAUAUUUGGCAAAGUGGUUUUUUCUGGCCAACGAUGUAUGAAGAUACAAAGGACUUUGUCAGGAGAUGCCACCGAUGUCAAAAACAUGGGAAUAUCAACUCACAAAAUGAAAUGCCUCUCACAAAUAAUCUUCAAGUAGAACUUUUCGAUGUAUGGGGCAUUGAUUUCAUGGGGCCAUUCCCUAUGUCCGGGAAUUGCGAGUAUAUCUUAGUAGCUGUGGACUAUGUGUCCAAAUGGGUAGAAGCCCUACCUUGUCGAUCAGCUGAUUCAAAACAUGCCAAGAGAAUGUUCCAUGAAGUAAUCUUUCCUCGCUUUGGUAUACCCCGGAUAGUUAUAAGCGAUGGAGGUUCCCACUUCAUCGACAAAAUCUUCCAGAAGUACCUAGCCGAUCUUGGAGUUCGACACAACGUCGCAACACCAUACCAUCCUCAGACUAGCGGUCAAGCCGAAACAUCUAACAAACAAAUCAAAAAUAUUUUACAAAAGACCGUAGAUGAGAUGGGUAAGGGGUGGAAGGACAAACUUCCUGAUGCACUUUGGGCAUAUAGAACUGCAUUCAAAACACCCAUAGGCAUGUCACCUUAUCAACUUGUAUAUGGAAAAACUUGUCACUUGCCUGUGGAAGUAGAGUUUAAGGCUCAUUGGGCACUCAAGAAAUGGAACAUGGAUCUCCACCUCGCUAGCGAGAAUCGUCUGAUGCAACUAUCUGAGCUAGAAGAAUGGAGAGAGAAAGCCUACCACAAUUCAAGGAUCUAUAAAGAGAGAAAAAACGAUGGCAUGAAAAGAGAAUCAAGCACAAGGAGUUUAAGCCUGGAGAUAAGGUUCUACUAUUCAGUUCAAGAGUUAAGCUCUUUGGGCAUGGUAAGCUACGAAGUAAGUGGGAUGGACCAUACAAGGUUAUUGACACUUCAACUCAUGGAGCCAUUACCAUCCAAGACGACAUAGGUAACACUUUUAAGGUAAAUGGUCAACGCUUGAAACUCUAUCUUGAGCCUCAAAACAACCGGGUAGAGGAACUUGAUGUGAUUGAGUUCAUAGAAUUCUCAUAUUAAGCUCUCAUAAGCUCUAGACAAUUACCUAACCCUUAACAUGCUCCACAAGUUUUGUUGUCUAUUUGGGUUGUGCAGGAUUUUAAGGCUUAAGAAGUGUAAGAUAGAACAUGCAGGCCAUAAGAGUGAACGACUAUGUCAACAUCCAGCUUGGGGGAGGCAUCCCCACGUGUAUCAUGAUAAGUAUUACUUUUCUUUCUUGGUUUUAUUUACUAGUAUUCGGAAAUAAAAAAAAAAUGCGUGACCAUGAAACCAAACAAAGUUUUUCUUUUGAGUAAUAUACAAUGGUUUUGUGUAAUCCUAAGUUUUAAAUAAAAUAAAAAGAAAGUUUGGUUCAAGUCUAGGUAAUUGACAAACAUGAUAUGAGAAGGUCUGAGCUACUAUUUAACUUGUUCCAAGCUUUGCUAGAGUUCUGGAGAUUUUAUCUUUCGAAAAUCUAAAAAUUCAUAAAAAAAAAUAUGAGAUCAUAAUACCUAGAGUCUUAUAAGAUAAAAAUAUUAAAACAGUGGGUACUUUCUUUGUUCAAGCCAUUGUUAAUUCUUGUAGUUUUGGUUGAGAGAAUUAUCAUGCUCCCAAGAUCAGGAUCUUUUUGUUUCAAAAAUAUAAAAGAUUCACUCUUCAAAAGUAUUAUUGCGUUAGAGGCAUGGGACUAUGCAAAAUUUUGAUUCGAAAAAAAAGUGAGACGAGAGGUAAAAAUGGACAAGUGUCCGAAGUAGAAUUAGGGGUACAAAGAUACCCACCUGAGUGGAAAAAAUGGACAUGUGUCCGACAGUAGAAUUAGGGGUACUUGCUGCCCACUUGAAAAAAAAAGAAGAGACUGAAAAAAAAGAAAAAAAUGAUAGCCCAUGGUCCCUCUAAUAAGCAAUAUGCCAGUAAGAGAUGACAUACUUUUCAAAAAGGUCAAAGGUCUUGAUCUAGGAGUAUGACAUUCCUCUCCCUUGCUCCGAGCAUUGACAUAGCAAAAUGCAAAGUAAGUAUGCUAAAACUUUUAAAGCUCUACUUAUAUAUCUUUCGAGAAGAAGGCAAAUACCUCAGUUUUAUUUUGCAGACUCAUAAAAAAAAUCCAGAACAAAGGUAAGACAGAAGAACUUGAGACAUAGUGCUUGACUUGAUCGUUCUGUUUUUCAAUCACUUAAGACCUUAGUGAUAAAUUAAAAACCCUGUAGUAAGAGGCAUAAAAGUAACCCCUGUUUUCUUGUUGAUUUUUGCUUUGCUCAGGGACGAGCAAAGGUUAAGCUUAGGGGAGCUUGUUGACGGUCCUUAAUGCUCACAUUUAACCAUCAACUAAUCAUGGAAAAGGAUCCAAAUGCAACCAACACCUAGACUUAGGGUUUUAUCUGACAGAAUUCCACGAGUUUUGGUGUUUGUCUAUUUCUGUAGGGGGUUAUCAGGAAAUAUGGAGGAAAGGCCCACACGUCGGGAUUACAUAGAGAUAUUAACGUGCCGCGCAAUUUUCUACCAUCUAGAAGACUCCAGAAGCCACGGGAACGAACGGGAAGGCGAUCGGGCUCGGAGGCAGGGCGCCCGCCCUACUCUCCUGGGCACCCGCCCUGCUACAGUGCCCAAUCAGGGUCAACUUCGCGGAUCGUGCUCCACCGACUCUAAGGAUCGAGGAAAAUCACACGAUUAAGGUCGGUUUGAUCAGAUGGUGGAGAAUAACGUGGAAAUUCAUUGGGAGCUACUCUUCCUAGAUUUCUUGGGGGCUACUCUUCCUAGAUUUCUUGGGGGCUACUCUUCCUGGACUAUAUAAGCAGACCCCCACCAGCCCCUGGAGGCAUACCUCUUCUACAGAAUCAAAGUUAGGGUUUCAAUUCUUCAUCCAAGUAGAGAGGAUCCCUCUAGUUCUUCUAGUUCUACCUCUAGUUCAUCUAGAUCUAGUUCUAGUUCAUCUAGUUCUAGUUCUAGUUCCUCUAGUUCUAGUUCUAGUUAGUUCUAGUUGUAAUCUAGAAAAUAGGGAGAGAGAAGACGAGAGCGGAGGAGGAGGAGCUGGAUCUGUCGGAUCUUCCUCAACAUUGUACUUUUGCAGCAACUGGUUCGUUCUUCAUCGUUCUCCAGGUUCUUCAAUUCAUAAUCCUGAGUUCUUUAAUUACUUUUAUUUACAUUUAAGUUAUUUAUUGGAUUCCCGCUUGCAUCAAGUGCUCUAAUCUUUGCAACAUUAGAGUAGUAAUUAAUAGAUUAGACGUGGUGUUUAGUCUUGCAAUUACCUGGAAUUGCACCCAAUCCUGCGGAUUGUUGUGGUAGCCUUAGGGUAGUGACAGCCCUAACGGUCGACGUAUUCCACCUCG
This 9908-nucleotide long non-coding RNA is filed under the name Sorghum bicolor (sorghum). RNAcentral's name for it is "long non-coding RNA (SBIC_LNC017779)". The record is from RNAcentral. Lineage: Eukaryota; Viridiplantae; Streptophyta; Magnoliopsida; Poales; Poaceae.